CUCCAUGUCGGAAUUUCUACUUCUUUCCCCUCCCAAACUCCCCCCUCGAGACCUCGUCCCCUCUUCUCCCGAGCCCCCUGGAAAGCACGCCAUGGCAGCUUCAUGCCCGUUGCUUCUCUCUUCUCCAAAUCUCCUGGGAGCAUCUCGGUCCCUCGCUAUGAAGAGAAGGCAAUGGAAGCUCAGCCAUGUCUCCAAUUGGCCGUAGCAAGGCAAUUGGCGGUCCUAUUUCCUCAGAAAGGUGGGAUCUUGCAUCCAUUUUUCUGUUCCUCCUCUUACGCUGGUCACUGUCUGACACCCUCUUCCGUACAAGUGAUGCAUUUCUUGUUCUUUUUCUUUGUCUGGUGCUUGAAUUGAUCGGUCAGCUAAAGAUUAGAUUUUUGCUUAUAAUUUACUACUAGGAUUGUGUAGCUGGUGCCAAAGAUAGGAGGCUUGUACCCCAUUUUAGGUUAAGAAUUGUUUGUGUUGUUGGAUUGGGCUGUCAUAAAUUGGGGAUGAUAAUGGAUGUUUGUAGAUGUGAUGUUCCUGUGAAAAUUGCUUUCUGAUAUUGUUUCUUGUUGUUAUAAGGCUGGUAUGGACUAAUUAUGUGAAGAUGUGUAUUUGGGUUUGUUAGGGUAGGAAUGUAAUGUUUACUUCUACGAAACGUGUUCUUGUUGUCAAGCGAUGCAUAUGCAUGCAUUAUGCAUGGAAUUGUUGAAAAUUAAGAAGUUAACCUUUUUUGCUUCUCAACAAUCUUUUUUUUUUCUUUUUAAUUGGUGUCCUUGAAACGGUUCUCGUUGCAAUUGCUUGAUUGGUCUAAUAUUCACAUAAGGCAUUGUUCUAUCAUAAUCUAUAGAUGAGCUCAAGGAAUUUACUGGUUAUCAUUGUGUUUCUUAAAUAAAUCUAACCAUUUUCCAAGAGAUGCUAUGGACAUUAUAAUUACAAUUUUUGAUUUUGAUUUUUUUAAUUUGUUUAUGUAAUUGCAUAUUUUGCCUCACGAUAAACUGAAUUGCUUGGACAAUAAAUUGGGUCGUUAAUUGUAGGACAUGAACAAAUAAGUAUUUAAGUAUUUUCCUUUUGACUUCUUGUGAAUUCUGUGAUUCAAUUAACAACAUUGUGCGGCUAUCCUGCCAUCACUUUGUUUUUUUUAUUUUUUUUAAAGGAGACUAUGGUGCAUAAGCACGAUAGUCAUCAAAUUUAUUAAUGAGCAAGAGAGUAAAAAGAGGUACAGAAGAUAAGGAGAAACCCUAGUACAGAAGAGAAAAGAAAAUUUCCAACAACGAAUAGAAUUCAAAUUUAAAAUUUGAAUUUCAAAAAGAGAGAAACACCCAUCAAACUAACAACCCUGAAAUUUAAAUUUGAAAUUUGAAUUUCAAAAAGAGAGAGACGUCCAUCAUGCUCAGAGGAGAUUAUUGAAUCAAUUAUCCCAAGAGAGGAAGGGGGACCGCAUCGACACCUCCUCCACCAAAAUUGCCAUGAAUGGCCGUUCCACCGAUGCCUCGACGAAGCUAGUAGGUAGGAGUGACUUUUGGUGGAAGGUUGGCAGAUGAGAAGGGUUGACGAAUGCUCCAAUCUCGAUACCGAAAGAGAGGAAAAGCAGAUCAAUGCCAAGAGAAGGACCGGCCAAAGAGAGAGAGGAAAGGAAGGGAGUCCGACAGUAGGAUUAAAAGAGAAAGGGAAGAGAGACAGAGGAGCAAUGGAGAGAAAGAGAAAGAAGGGGGAGAAAACAAGGGGGCCCUACCAGUGGAUGGAGAGGCCGGCGAUGUCCCCCGAGAGUCCGAAGAGGAAAAGGAAAGACAGUUGUAGUUACUGGCGAGAAAAGACUGGCGACGCCCCUUAAACACUCGAGAGCAAAGAGAGCAAAGGGAGAGGCUCAUCGCGGGGUGGGGGGGGACGCCGGUGAACACAGUGCCGGUAGAGGAGAGAGAGGGAUUAGGGAAGAGUGCGACUCUUAGUCGGAAUCGCAGGCGGAACAGAGAGAGAAGAAGUACAGAAGAAAGGGGGAGAAAGAGAGGAGACAGGAAAGAGAGAGGGGGUUUUGGCGGCAUGGUGAUGCCGGCCAACCGAGGAGGGCCGGAGACAUCAGAGAAGAUCUCCACCGAGGGGAGCCGAGGAGGGCCGGCAACACCCCUCGAAAGAAUUGGCAGGGGGUGAGGGACUUUUCGGUGGGGAGAAUAAGGAGCCGAAAAAUCUCAAUAUUGAGGGGGGCGGAGAAACGGCGGCAAGGUGAUGCCGGCCAGCUGUCGGAGAAAGAUCAUCACCAAGGGAGACCUAGGAAAGUUGGUGAUGUCCCAUGAAAAAAGACUGGCAGGAUGACAGGUUAAAAGGGGGAUGAAGAGAGGGGAGAGAGGAAGAGAGGGAGAGAGAGAGAGCCUGGCGGCUAGCCGUCGGAAGAAGGAAACGUCGAAGGAGGCCUCGGAGCUCGAAGAGAAAGAGAGGAAAAAAAAACUCAGAGCUCCUCUUCUUUGGCCAGAGAAAGGGGGAAAAGGGUACAACCGGCGACGCCCCGCAAAAGUUCGAAGAGGAAGGGAGAAGAUUCUCGAGGAUUCCGGCAAGAAAAGAUAGGCGACGCUCCACGGAAGUCUGGCAGCAAUAGAGAGAAGGGGAGGGGCUCAUCGCACGGGGGUUUCGAGAAUAGCCGACUCUCCACUGGAGAGGUCCUUGACAACUCAAGGGAAUAGUCGGAGGGGAAAGAAAGAGAGGACCGGGGGAAGAGCAAGGUGAGAGAGACAGAGAGGGGAGAGAGGAAGAGAGAGGAAGAGAGCAGGAGAAGACAGAGGGGAGAGAGGGAGAGAGGGAGAGAGAAAGAAGGAGAAGAGAGAUGGGCCCGUCAGAGGAAGUCUCGGUGCUGGAAGAGAGGGGGAGGAAAGUAUUCUCAAAGCUUCUCUCUAUAGAAAUGAUUAGAGAGAGAAGUCUUACAUCUAUUUCUGCCAUCACUUUGUUGAAACUGCAACAUUUGCACAUCUAGCAAUCAUGAUAUGUGACCUCUCACUUCAGGGUGAAGAUGCAACAUUUGGCUUUCCAGCUUGUGUUGGGACAUUGUUUUGCAUCCAAGCCCUAGGAAGGACAAUUUUGCAGAUUCACUUGGGGUAACAAUGUGCUGCCUAGUUGCUAACAACUUUUUUUCAUGACUUUGAGGAGAUAUCAGAUACUUGGCAAUGAUGCAGUCGAUAUUUUCAUUAUUGAUGCUAAUUAAAUAUCCAUUUAUGGGAAAGUUCACAAUUUUAGAUAUUCUUUUUCUUUGCAAUGCUUGGGUCUUUUUGCAGACAUUUUAUUUCAGUAAAUAUUUCAUUUCAUUUUUGAUCCUAACAUAUAUUUAUAAUGGAGAGGUUCACUUUGAAUUAAUGCCUUUAUGGCAAUGAUUUACCUAUUGAUUUGUACUGCACCAUGCCACAUAAUAAAUAGCAUGCCACAAUAAAUAGCAUGUCUUGUGUGUUGGCCUGUGUUGCAUUGUAUUACAAAUUCACAAUGAGAUGCUAUGGUCCAAACUCCAGACUGGAAUAGCUUGGUACCUUACUAGGCUAAAAUGACUUAGCUUAUAUCCAUCAGUAAUUCUAGCACCAGCUAGAAUGCCUUGUUAGACUGGAGCUGGAACAGUUCGGUAUCGGUAUUUAUUGUGACCAUAAUCCAGCCAAUUCUAGCACCACCAGCUUAUGCAACAAUACAGUCUGCUGCCUAGACAAGUGGAAGACUCAUUAGAACUUGGUUGUUAAGCAGUGCAUGGACUGGUUUUUUUGCUGGUUGCCUGCACAUGCUAUCAGGCCCUGACCAUCUCGCUGUGUUGGCUCCCUUAUCCAUUGGUUGAUAAAGGAUGGAGAGUGCUAUGGUAGGGACAGCUGUGGCCAUGAUGGCAACCAAAUAAUAUUUGGUUUGCUAUUUCUUAUACGCAAGGAUCAUCUAUGCAUUGAGGUCAUCAAAACAUGGAGGACUAGAGUUGUGGAUUUAACUCUGCUUGUAUUGGAGCUGCUUAAAUUAGGGAGGCUUCAGAGGUGCCCCACCCAUGCAUUGCUCUAGAUUAUGGUAGCGGGGGAGGGGGUGGGGGGCAGCAUACAAUGUUAGUCUCAUUGAACCCUUAGAUGCUGGUAAUGGUGGGAGGAAACUUUUGGGCUUGCAACUUUUGCCACUGGCAUUGUAGGCAGUUGCACUCAUGAUGGUCUUUUCUUGCCAGCACUUCUUCUUCCUUCUUGCCUGGCUGGUGCUGCUUUUUCAGGUAUGUUUCUUGUUGGAACUGUGUUUGCAAUUAGGUGUUACACAGUUUUUAUUGGUUUGUAUACUUAGUUGUUGAAAGAAAGGGUUCCUAGGAUACCAAAGAAACUGAUAUGGGUUGCUUUUCUUGGAGCCAUAUCCAUGGGACUUGCCAUUCUCAUUAGCCAUUUCUUUGGUUUUAGCUUGUAUUGAUCUUACCUUUGAUUUGCCAUUUAUUAGCUUCCUUGAAGCUUUACACAAUGUUAUCUUGGAGCUUGGGAUCUUUGUAAUACAAAAACUUUUCCGGUUUCAUUUUUUUAAUUAAUUGAGUAUUCGUCUUAGUUGAUCAUAGCAACCAUGGUCAAGAGAUUCGAGUUUUCUAUAGGAAAAGGUUGCUUUUUUUUUCAUCUAUUUAUUAAUUUCGUAGAUGCAUGUUGAAUAUACUGGUUGUGGAAGAAAUGCGUACCUUUAUUUCAUAUUCAUAAAAAUUGCCACAUCUGCUUGUUGCUGCAGAGUUGUUUGUCAUGGCUAACUGUGGCAUUAAUUAUCAAAAAAAAAAAAAGUUUAGUCAUCUGUAUUAUGACGCAUACUUGAGUAAAAUAGAGAAAAUGUUUACUUUCAGACAAUUUCUUUGAUCUGACUCUUCUUAUGUCUGAAUAUGGAGCUGAAAUAUGUGGCAUCUAAAUCCUAGCAUUAUGUUGUGAAAUGCUAAGCAUCAAAUAUAACUUUUAUGCAAGAAUCUCAACUUUCAUUCCUUAAAACUCUUUAGAUUCAUAAGUUUAUAGUAGGCAGUGCCAUUGGUAGGAUGAUGCAUAAAAAAUUAUCAGAGAUUUGGUGUUUGAAGGAAUGAUGGCUACUUCACAGCCUCUUAGUCUGCACCUAUGGUGCAGAGCCUGCAUUUGAGAUAGUAGGCCCAGCAUUUGGGGUGAUACUAUGGGGUUUUGGGAAACCACAUGUUGAUAUGAUUAACUGCUAGUAUCCAAAUGAACACACUGCAUCCAAUGCAAAUUAGAUCAAAUUAUCUAUCAUCUUAAGUCAUGAAAUCUUCUCCCUGAAAAGCACUAGUAUCGUUGUUGUAUUCAGGCCCCAAGUUGAUUAAUCUGAGUGGUCUAGAUUCUUUGUGGGUUAAACCUAUCAUGGCCACCCCAACUCUGGAGACUCAAGGUAAAAAACAAUAUGAUGUGCCAAUCCUUAUAUGUCUUUGGUGAAACGAAGUGCACAUGUCAAAGCAACGGCAGAAGCAGCAAGAGAUCAGGGAUCAUGUUCUACCAUUGAAAUAUUUUGAGCAAUAGAAGGUGGGGAUGGCUCACUUAGCUGGAAGCAUCCUCUGAUAGCAAGCUGGUCGUUGACUACCUUAUCAAGGAAGAACUCAGGGUGCUAGGUAGAAAGUAUGGCCUAACUCAGGGUGCUAGGUAGAAAGUGUGGCCUAUUAAUCUCUUAGGAAUUGCUGAAGAUAUACUUAUGAAGCUAUGUGGAAUGGAAGAGGGAAAAAGACUUGAUUUACAUCUUGGAAAGCAAAGCAACCAUGCAUUUGCUGGAUCUUGCGAAGCCUUCAGCUUAAGUUUAUUUCAAGGCUUUGAAUAUCAGAGUUUAUUAGUUGUCUGAUAGUCUUCUAUGAGUGGUCCCUUUUAGGUUUUUGUUAUCUUUUGUGUUGGUUGGCUUCUGGUCUGUAAGAGUGGUAGGUGGGGCUUGUGUUGGUGUUAAAGGAGGACUUCAUAGGUCAUCUUGGAGGUUAGUUGAGUCAGGUACUAUGUUUUGUUAAAAUUGUCAGUGUUCUUUGCUUGUAGAGGGUGGAGGUUGCAUUUUGUUCCACUAAGGGUGUCUUUAUGUAUUAGGUGCCAUCGCUGUUUAGUGGGUCUGUCUGGGAGUGGAAGUUUGAAACUUGAAGUGUUUUGGGACUUCCAAGGAGAGAAGCGUGAGAUGGUUUGAGAGCAGAACCGAUCCUGUUGAUCUUUUUGUCAAUUACAAUAGGAGUUAUUGUCACUUAUUGGAAGGAGGAAGCACCAGUGAUGAAGGAGACUAAAGGGAUGUUCUUGAUCUUGAUGGAAUUGAGAGACAACCGAUCAAGUCUUCAAGCUUGACUUUGUUUACCACUAACCUAGCUUUGGGAGAUGUUAUUAGCAGUUAAAAGAAGCUUUCAAAGUCCUUAGCUCCUCACUUUUAUUUUUUAGUUGUGGCAUUUUCAGAAUUAUGGGUCUUGGUUACUAGUUUGUUUUGGGCAUGUGGUUUCUCUUCUAUUUUUGGCCGCUGUUUGCUUUCCCUAUCCUUUGGCUGGGGCCUUGUUCUUUCCUUUUCACCACCUUAAUGCAAAAAGGCCAAAUCUCGUGCCUAACUUUUCCUCAAAAAGAUAAUUGCCAUAUUGUAAAUCCUUGUGCCAGCUGUUCUCCAAAUUUGUAAGUCCUUUUUUGACAAAAAUUCCUAUUAUAUGUAUGUUUAGAUAUUACUUCAAGUUUUCCUAGAUCCUUCUUCAUGACUUUCAUCCAUCACUGGCUUAUGUUUUUCCUUGCUCUUUUGAGCCCUUAUGACACACAUUUAAAGGUCCUCUCCUAAAUGGGUGCUUUCUUAGAUUUUCAUUGCUUAUGCUUGAAUUAUUUCAAUCAUUUUUUAUCACUUUGUUUUUAAUAGGUAUUGUCACAAUGUUUCCUUAAAUAUGCUUGUCACUUAUCAUUCUUACCUUUCACAAAGUUUACUUCAACACCCUCAUUUCUUCAUGCCCGUUUUCUUAUAUAUCAUUGUAACUAUGCCUCCCCAGAUAGCUGGGGUUUAGUCCUAGCAGUUGGUACCUUUCCAUUGUUUAGACAAGGUCGUGGUUUCAGAUCCUUUGAGUUACUCUAGAAUUUUUGGGUCAUUGAAGGUGGAGUUCUGAUUUCUCUGACAAUGAUGUGCAUAAAGUGGAGUCUAGUGGAAAUGUUUAGGUUGAUCCUACUACUAGUUGUUAUAGAGCCUUCUGUUCAGGGCAGGCUUGGAGUUAUGGUGCGAAGGUCAAGACGUUUCUGACCAUCUUACAUCCUCCAUUGAUCAAAUCCCUAUUGCUAGUCGAGACCAGUGGGAAAGCGUCGAUGCUCAGAUUCUUGAUUUGAUUUGGCAGACCAUUGAUUCUGGCCUAUUUUUUAUCUUCAGACUGAUCCGUACAUGUUAUGGUAUUUGGAUCUGCGCUCGAGAAUUGGACUGAAGCAAUUUUACACACUUGUAUGAUGUGAUUGGCUCUCUUUUUCAUCUCUGACAGAGAUUCUGAUAUGCAGUCUUAUCUGGGGUGCUAUCAGUCACUUGCCACUGAGUUACAUGAGCUAUUAUCAUUUUCUCCUAAUUUUCGGGUCUAGCAGGUUUAGUGAGAUCGUCUGAUUACUGUCUUAUGUUUUCAUGGGAUUCGUUCGGAGUUAGAGGGUGUUUGCAUCCAGAUCCUUAGUUCAAAUCCUAUACCCUCUUCUGUAAAUGUUUACUCGAGACAUCCACAGGGAUAAACCAUCUUGAUGCAGCUUUAUCCUCCGACCCCACUUUGUCCACUUAGUCCUCAGGAGACUCAGGUUUUAGAGGUGGUCGUCAAAGCCGUGGUGGUAGAGGUGGUCAUGGUGGUGGUCAUCCCUGAUGCACCCACUGCAAUCGUCAUGGACACAUCCAGGACAUCUGUUACACUUUUCAUAGAUUUUCAUAGCGGACUGCACAUAAUGUAUAGACUCAGUCAGCAGAGGAUAACUCGGCAGUAUCUGCCCUGGCUUCUGACAGCGUUACGAUCUUUGAAAAGGAGUAUAUACAAUUUCUUCAGUUCCAGACAUUACAGCAAGCUUCCUCAUCCAUCACUGCUCUAGCACAACAUGGUAAUCCGACUACCUGUCUUAGUCACUCAUCAGGUAACUUUGUUUCUUGGAUUUUUGAUUCUAGUGCCUCUAAUCACAUGUCUGGGCACAAACAUAAUUUUGCCCAUAUUAUUGAGUCACAAACCUUACCACAUGUUACUUUGGCUAAUGGGUCCACUACAUUUAAGGGUAGGAGAACUGUUUCCUUUUGUUCUAAUUUGUCCUUGUCUUUUGUUUAUAUAUUCUCGAUUUUCUUGUUAAUUUAAUAUCCAUUAGUCAAUUAACUAAAUAAUUGCAUUGCUCAGUUAUCUUUUCUUCUGAUUCUGUAGUGGUGCAGGACUUAAAGACAAAGAGGAUGAUUGGUUUCGAUUUUGAGUCUCGUGGUUUGUAUCGACUGUCUGAACCAUCAGUGUGUGUAGUUGCUGCUACGUCUCUUCAAAUUCACAGCCACUUGAUCAUCCUCAUCUCUAGAAUCUUCAAAAGAUGGUGUCUAGUAUGUCGGGUGUCCGCGAGUUAAAUUGUGAGUCAUGUUAGUUAGGAAAGCAGAGUUGUAGUCUUUUUUCUAGUCGGUCAAAUAAACAUGCUUCAGCACCCUUUAGUCUUAUUCAUUCUGAUAUUUGGAGAUUCAGUAAAAUUAUUUCUUCUAUGAAAUUUAACUAUUUUGUCACUUUUAUUGAUGAUUAUUUUCGCAUGACUUAGGUGUAUUUAUUACGUAAUCAUUCUGAAUUAUUUUCAGUUUUUACUGUAUUUUAUGCUGAAAUUAAAAAUCAGUUUCAUACAUCCAUUAAAAUUUUUCGAAGUGAUAAUGCCCGUGAGUACUUAUCUACUAAUUUUCAAAACUUUAUGAUUACUCAUGAGAUUCUUCAUAGACAUCUUGUGCUUAUACGCCUCAACAAAAUGGAGUAGCAAAGUGCAAGAAUCGUCAUCUUGUUUACACAAUACGGACACUUCUCAUAUAUGUGCAUGUGCCUGUUCAUUUUUGGGAUGUCACUGUCCUUACUGCAUGUUAUCUCAUAAAUCAUAUGUCCUCAUCCGUGUUGCAUGAUCAAAUUCCCUUUUUGAUUUUAUUUCCUAGAGAUUCCCUAUAUGUCUUACCUCCUAGAGUCUUUGGAUGCACCUGUUUUGUCCAUUAGUCUGGUCCUAGUCAUGAUAAGUUGUCCUCGAAAUCCUUAAAAUAUGUCUUUCUCAAAUAUUUUCGAUCCCAAAAGAACUAUAGGUGCUACUCUCCUGUUCUUCAUCGUGUCUUUAUAUCGUCUGACGUUACGUUCUUUGAGUCUAUUCCUUAUUUUUCUCCUAGAUCUAAAUCUAUUGUCUCUCAUGAGGAGUCUAUAUUUAUUGGGCUGUCUGUAUCUCUUCCCUUUGGUGACACAUCCUCGUCAUCUGUGCCCAUUCCUCUAUCUCUAUUUAGAUUUGAUCGACUGAAUUUUCAGACAUAUCAACGUCAUGCAUCAUCUGGGCUCCCUUCUGUUGAGCCCAUGGAUUCAACAUCAGCACCAGUCGCUUCUCUGCCAGAUAGUCCUACUACACCAGCCCCUUCUGACCUGGAUGUUUCUAUUACUCUGCAUAAAGGUAAUUGAACAAAACAUCUCAUUGAUCGUUUUGUUAGUUAUCUAUCUUUAUCUCCCAGAUAUUCUGUUUUUAUUUCUUUGCUUGCUUCGGUCUCUAUUCCUCAUACUAUCACAGAGGCACUUGCUUAUUUCGACUGGAAGUAGAUGAUGGAUAAUGAGAUGUCUGCACUGCGUGCUUUGGAUUCUUGGGACCUUGUUCUGCUUCCUCCAAAUAAGUCUAUUGUUGGUUGUCGCUGGGUUCAUACUAUUAAGUGUUCUCUUGAUGGGCAGGUUGAUAGAUUGAAGGCUCAGCUGGUUGCAAAAGAUUUCACUCAGGUGUUUGGCCAAGAUUAUCUUGAUACAUUCUCACCUGCGGCUAAACUCAUAUCUGUUCGUCUUCUCCUAAGCUUAACUGCUAUCUUUCACUGGCCUUUUCAUCAACUGGAUAUUAAGAAUGCAUUUCUGCAUAGUGAUCUUCACGAGGAGGUUUAUAUGGAGCAACCUACUGGGUGUGUUGCUCAAGGGGAGUAUGUAUGUCGGUUGAAGAAGUAAUUAUAUGGCUUGAAGCAAUCUCCUCAGACCUGGUUUAGGAAGUUCAGCUCUGUUAUUUUUCAGUUCGGCCUUCUUAGAAGUACUUCUGAUCAUUCGAUUUUGUAUAGGUAUUCCGAGUUAGGCAAGCGCAUUCUUUUGAUUGUCUAUGUAGAUGACAUGGUUAUUACUGGUGAUGAUAGUGAUGGCAUUACUGCUCUGAAGAGUUAUUUACAUCAGCAAUUUCAGACCAAAGAUCUGGAAGAGUUACGAUACUUUCUUGGUAUUGAGAUUGUUUGGUCUCAUCGGGGUAUAGUUGUGAAUCAGAGAAAGUAUGUCCUUGACAUGUUGGAGGAGACAGGUAUAUUAGGGUCUCGUCUUGUUGAUACUUCUAUGGAUCCUAAUGUACGACUUGUUCCUGAUCAGGGAGAACCUUUGUCAGAUCCUGAAAGAUAUCGGAGAUUAGUUGGAAAACUGAAUUAUCUUACAGUCACCAGGUCAGAUAUAUCUUUUGCUGUUAGUGUCGCCAGCUAGUUUUUUGACUCUCCUACUGUUUGUCAUUAGGAGGUUGUUAUUCGCAUUCUUAGAUAUCUAAAGAGUGCAUCAGGCAAAGGGUUAUUUUAUCAGGAUCGUGGUCAUAGCCAGGUAGUUGGCUAUUAAUGCAUGUCAUAGCAAAUCAAAAUUAACCCUACUCACUACUAUGUAGAUAGGAUGAGUCGGAAUCGUAUCCAUAGAGAUCUUAGAUCGAUUAUUUCAAAAAUAUAAACGAAAAAAAUAAUAGAUUGCAAGAAACUAAGAAUGAAACAUAGAGAUUGCAAUAAAAAUAUUUUUUAUUGAUCAAAUAAAAAAACAUACAUAAUGAAAAAAAUAAAAGUGCAAUAUAAAACAACUAAAUCAAGUUGAACUUCUCAUUAUGCCCGAUGGUGGAUGUGCCUCCUUGAAUCUUUCGUCUUCCUUCGUGCAGACAGCGGUAGGAUGACGGGAAGGUUUGGUUUAGGAACUCCAAGGAAGAAAAAUAGAUAGAAGAGGGUAUGAGAAUAUGAAAAGGAUAGCAACACUAGGAUUAGGAUCUCUCCUAGAUUUGAUGGAAGACGUGCUAGGAUUAGGAUCUCCUCUAGACUUUUUAGGAUGUGGAGAAUAGAUUUAUGAAAGAAUAUGGUGUCGUGCUAGGGUUAGUACCUCCCUUAGACUUAUGGAGAAGAGAAAAAGAGAGAUGGGGGCAGCAGCUUGGAGAGAAACUUAGACGUUGGCUUGAUGGAAAGAGAGAAAGGGAAGAGCUUUGAUGGAGGAGAGGAGGAAGAGAGAUUGAAGAAGAUGAAGAACCCCAUAAGGGAGCUGAUGGAUUGAGAAAGAAGGGUUGGGAUGUAUUUAUAGAGAGGAGACUAGAGUUUCAUGAAAAGAGAGGUGGGAGCAUGAAUAAGGACCCUUGGACCUUCAUAUUGCUUCUCCUCAGUUGAUCAAUAAGUCGCAUUCACACUUGGAUCUUCAUGAAGAGUGAUCUUUUAAUCUGAGCCCUUGAGAUUUAAGUCAUGUUUAUACUUGGUUCCAUCUAUCUUCUAAUCUAGAUCCUUGAUUGGAGAGGUUACUUCUUGACUCUUGAUCUUUAAGUCGCAUUCACACUUGAGUAGGAGCUGAUUGCCUGAUUCACUCAAUUUUGAUCCGAUUUGAGUCCAAUUUGAAUCGUAUGAAUCCAAACUCCUAAUUACCUGCAAAAUAGAUUAGAGAGCAUCAAAAUUCAAUAAAAUAACAUCAAUUAUCAUAAUAUUUAAUAUUUUUAGUGACUUAAAUUAAGUAUUCAUCACACCCUCCAACUUAAAAUUUAUUCAUCCUUAAGUAAAAUAGAUACAUUAGCAUUGUGUACCAAAUUAUCCUUGAAUUGAAAGUUAUCCUAAGCAUUUCUAACUAUAGUGGAUACUGGCUAGACCAUUAAAGAGGUACUUCAUUGGAUUACUAAUUUAACUUAAUUGGUGGUUGAGUAUUAGUCAUAAAAAUUUUAGAGAUCUUUCACCAACUCUCCACUAUACUCUUUAAGUCCUCUAACUUCUUGAUGUGAGCAGAAUUUAUUGUCUUCUUACAAUUUAGUCCCUUAUUGUCUAUUAUUUUAUUUUAUUUUAUUUUUUUUUCAAAAAGAGUCUAGUGCAAUAUCUUAGCCUCUUGAGCCUUCUAACUGAUCCUUGUAGCAAGCUUUCAGCCAAUGACUCUCAAACCAGUUAGCUUUAGGGCAUUAGGUGUAGAACACCCCUCAGACUUACUGACUCGAGUCCAAAAAAAACUAUGAGGUGAGACAGACUCUAUAAUAGUCUUUUAGCAUCCCCACCUUUUAACGCGAACCACAAUGCUGAGGCGAAGGGGUCCAAUUACUCAGUGAGAUAAUGCUAAAUCAUUUUUUUUGUAAUAAAAAAUUUUUUUGCAUACCUUGACCUUUCCACCCAUACCCCCAUGAAGCAGAUUCUUCAUUGAGAUGGUGGGAAGAGGGUUUUAAAAAUAUUCCAAAAUUUGGUCUGAUCUAAGCACUAUCAUUCAUUGGAUUUUCUCAAUAAUUUGCCCCUCAGUGUCUCUAAAAUUAUCUAGACCGUUAAUCACUCAUUAAUUAGGAUGCCUGAUUAACUUUAAAUCGAGAUAAAAUUUGGAUACACAAAGCUAAUUAUUUUUUAUCAUACUUGAGAACUCAAUUAAAUUAGUUUUUCUCUCCCUCAACUUAAUUUCUAUUGUCCCUAAUGUAAGAAGAGAAUCAUAAUAAAAUAUGAUAAAGAUACCACCUGAGUUUAAUAUGCGCAAUCAUUGUCAAGAGAUCCUUCAUUGUUGGGUGUGGUGUAUUUUUGAUUUCAACUGGUGUGAACGUGACUCUUCUCUUAACUUCGCUAGUAGCAUCACUUAUCCACUCCACUAUGGAGAUUCAACUUUGCUAAUUGUCUUUCUAGAGAUUUUUAAAAAUGAAAAGAAACUAAAAAUAUUGCAUAAGCUGGGUUGCCUCCCAACAAGUGCUAAGUUUAACGUCUUCAGCCAGACGCUAUGAGAGAGUCCCACCUAUAAUCAACUUGGGUAUGUUCCUCAAGGUUUCAAAAAGACAAGACCAAUCAGGAGGCCUCGUUAUCAUAGUCAAAAAAUAUUCGUGGAAUGUUCUACAACGAUUAGCCCAGAUCAAUAGAAUGUACUGGACAAGCGCGCAAUACAGGGACUAACAAUAUUCUCAUAAUUUUUCUGAUGACUAGAAAGGGAUUGUGUUUGUUGAAUCGAGAUUAGGGUUGGUAGUUAAGAGUUUCUUUAAUUAUAACCUGAUCUACUCUAAUCCCUAUCUCGGGUAUGAUUUGUUUCGACAUCAUCUCUUCCCAAUCUAUAGCAUGGUAUUUUUUUUAAAAUUAAUACUAAAUUAAUCUCCGGCAAUGACGUCAAAAUUUGAUGCAUAUCGUAGCACAUUAAAAUUAACCCUACUCACUACUAUGUAAAUAGGGUGAGUCGGAAUCGUAUCCACGGGAUCUUAAAUCGAUUAUUUCGAAAAUAUAAACGAAAAAAUAAUAAAUUACAAGAAACUAAGAAUGAAACAUGGAGAUUACAAUAAAAAUAUUUUUUAUUGAUCAAAUAAAGAAGCAUACAUAAUAAAAAAAAUAAAAGUUUGAUACAAGACAACUAAACCAAGUUAAACUUUUCGCUAUGCCCGAUGGUGGAUGCCUCUCCUUGAAUCCUUCGUAUUCCUCUAUGUAGACAGCGACAGGAUGGCUGGAAGGCUUAGUCUAGGAACUCCAAGGAAGGAAGGUAGAUAGAAGAGGGUAUGGAAAUAUGGAAAGGAUAGUGGUAUUAGGAUUAGGAUCUCUCUUAGAUUUGAUGGAAGGCAUGCUAGGGUUAGACCUCCCCUAGACUUGUUGAAAUGUGGAGAAUGGAUCUAUGGAAUAAUAUGGUGUCGUGCUAGGGUUAGUACCUCUCCUAAAUUUAUAAGGAAGAAAGAAAGAGAGAUGGGGGCAGCAGCUUGGAGAGAAACUUAGGCAUUGGCUUGAUGGAAAGAGAGAAAGGGAAGAGCUUUGAUAGAGGAGAGAAAGAGAAAGAGAGGGGAGAAGAUGAAGAACCCCACAAGGGGGCUGAUGGAUUGAGAAAGGAGGGUUGGGGUGUAUUUAUAGAGAGAAGGCUAGGGUUUCAUGAAAAGAGAGGUGAGAGCAUGAAUAAGGAUCCUUGGAUCUUCAUGAAUAAGGAUCCGUUGAUCAAUAAGUCGCAUUCAUACUUAGAUCUUCAUGAAGAGUGAUCUUUUAAUCUAAGCCCUUGAGAUUUAAGUCAUGUUCACACUUAGUUUCAUUUAUUUUCUAAUCUGAGCUCUUGAUUGGAGAGGUUGCUUCUUGACCCUUAAUCUUUAAGUCACAUUCAUACUGGAAUGGGAGCUAGUUGCCAGGUUCACUCAAAUCUGAUCCAAUUUGAGUCUAAUUUAAAUCGUAUGAACUCAAACUCCCAAUUAUCUACAAAAUAAAUUAGAGAGUAUCAAAUUCUUAAUAAAUAAAAUGCAAUUAAAUAGAAUUAUGUGGCUUUAGUGACUUAAUUCAAAUGUUCAUCACACCCCUCGACUUGAACUUUACUCGUCCUCAAGUAAAAUAGAUAUAUUAGCAUUAUGCAUCAAAUUAUCCUGGAAUCGAAAGUUAUUCUAGGCAUUCCUAACGGUAGCUGAUACCCAGCUAGAUCAUUAAAGAGAAACUUCAUUGGAUUAUCAAUUUGACCCAAUUAGUGGUUAAGUAUUAGCCAUAGAAAUUUUUAGAGAUCUUCUUUCACCAACUUCCCACUCUAUUUUUUAAGUCCUUUAACUUAUUGUGAGUUUGGUGUGGUGUCUUUUUGUAGUUUAUUUUCCUUAUUCUCUUUUUUUUUUGAAAGAAUAUUUUCAUGUACAGUCGGUGCAAUGUCCUAACCCCUUAAGUUUUUUAAUUGACUCUUGCAGCGAGCUUUAGGCUAACGAUUUUCAAACCAGUUGGUUUUAGGAUAUUAGGUAUCAAACAUUCCUCAGACUUACUGACUUGAGUCAAAAAGGCUACGAGUUAAGACUGACUCUACAAGACGUUUCUUCACAUUCUCAUCUUUUGACGCGAACAACAACGCUUACUUAGGUGAAGAGGUCCAGUUACUUAGUGAGAAAUGCUAAAAACCUAUUUUAUUAAGGCAAACUUUUUGCAUACUGACAUUUACACCCUUACCCCCAUGAAGCAGAUUCUUCAUCAAGAUAGACAAGAAGAGGGUUCUAGAAUUACUCCAAAAUUCAUUUUGGUCUAAAUCCUAUUAUUUAUUGUGUUCUUAAUAAUUUCCUCCACAAUAUCUCUAAAAUUAUCUAGACCAUCAAUUACUUAUUGAUUAGGAUGUUUGAUUAACUCCAAAUCGAGAUAAAAUUUAGGUACACAGCUAAUUAUUUCUGACCAUACUCGAGGACUUAAUUAAAUUAGUUAUCCUCCCUCUCCAACAUAAUUUUCAUUAUCCCCAAUGGAAGAAGAGAAUUAUAACAUAACAGGAAAGGAUACACCUGAGUUCAAUAUAUGCAUUCAUUGUUGAAAGAUCCUUCAUUAUUGGGUGUGGUGUGUUCUUGAUUUCAGUUGGUAUGAACGUGGCUCUUCCCUCAACUUGGCUAGUAGCAUGGUUCGUCGUACCGGGCCGAACCGCCCGGUACGGGGUGUACCGAGCUGGACCAGUCCCUUACUGGUCCGGUUCGGGCCUGUUUUUCGGAAAAGGACCCGGAACCGCAUCGAAUCGAGCGGUUCGGUGCAGUUCGGGCCCAUAUCGCCCGGAACCGAGCGGUACGGCUCGGUUCUGGAGCGAUUUGGGGUGAACCGAACCGUACCGCCCAUGAAAAAGGGGGGGAGGGGGGAAGGUGGCUCAAUUUGAUGAGGAUCUUGUGUUAUUUUCUUGGUAUCUGAAAUAAAAUGAAACCUCAAGCAUAUCUCUCUCUCUAUCAUAUCUGUUAUACCAUCUGUCUUGUAGUAUCCGAUAUGAUGUAUUAUAUCAUAUUGAUAUGUUAUUUCAUAUUAUACCAAUAUUUGGUAUGUUGUUUUGUACCAAAUUGAAAUAUAUAUCGGUAUUAUAAUAGAAUGGUGUCAGUAUAAGAUCCGGUACCGAGAUUGUAAAGCUUGUACUAUGUAUUAGUUCAUCGAAAUCCAACUCGUAAGAUGAAUUUGAUUUGGUUUUUCAUCACCAAACAGAUGGAAAUGCCUAGGGAAGCAUUUUGAGAACUUGAGAGGAAUCUGAAAGAAAAUUUUGAACCUCUGAUAGCUAGUAAUGGACGUUUUCCGCCCCAACAAUUACUAAGCAUUUACCAUUACCCUUCUCCCUGUUUGGUACCAUGACUCCUUGCUCAUUUAACCCUGUGCAUUCGUACCGUUUUAAGUAUUCGUUUCUACAACAAUUAAUCGCAGUUGUAACAGAUAGUUCAGAGGCCUCAACAAGAUUUUAAAAUAAAAAUCUCAGUAUUAUAAUCACACAACAUUCAGCAUUUAUGAUUAAAAAAGAAACAUGGGCAAUAUCUAAUAUUCCAAUUAGUAACUCAAAAUGGCAUCAUAAAAUUGAAUAAUAUCUGGUUGUAUCAAUAUCAUAAAUCUUGUGAUGCUAGUAGUGGUAUAUAUGUCUCAGAGUUAAUGAAGAAAUUCUUAUGGUGGAAUCAUAAAAUUGAAUAACUUCUGGUUGCAUAAUGUUGUGAUGCUGGAAGCUUAAACUGUUAUAUGCGAUAUCAUAUAGGAUCACAAUUAGAGCAAGGCUUUUCAUAAAUAAGUCAAAUAGGAGAGAGUUCAGGUGUUUUACCACCUUAAUUUUAAUCAAGUUAAAUGGUUGAGGGCUUUAUGAUGUGUUCUAAAUCUUCCAAACCCAUUUUCUUCUGCAUAAAACUGAUUCGAUUGUAACAUAUGGCUAUUAAGAGUCUUUGUACCGUAAUCUAANNNNNNNNNNNNNNNNNNNNUAAAAAUCGAAGAAAAUAGUGUACCGGUACCGAACCGGUAUGCCCAAACAUACUGUGUGUCGGUACGGUACCGGUACGGUACCAUACCGAUUCGAGACCGACACGCCGUCCGGUACCGGUACAGCGAACCUUGGCUAGUAGCAUCACUCAUCCACUCUACUAUAAAGAUUCAACUUGGCUAAUUAAUUUUUUAGAAAUUUUUACAAAAUAAAAAAAACUAAAAAUAUUGCAUAAGCUGGGUUGCCUCCCAACAAGUGCCAAGUUUAACAUCUUCAGUCGGAUGCUGUGAGGGAGUCCCACCUAUAACCAACUUGGGUAUGUCCCUCAAUAUUUCAAAAGGAUAAGACCAAUCAGGAAGCCUUAUCAUCAUAGCCAAAAAAUAUUCAUGAAAUGCUCUACAACGAUUAGCCCAGACCAAUAGAAUGUACUGGGCAAGCACGCAAUAUCAGGGACUAACAAUAUUGUCAUAAUUUUUUUAAUGAUCAGAAAGAGAUUGUGUUUGUUGAACUGAGAUUAAGGUUGGUAGUUUAAGAGAUUCUUUAAUUAUAACCUGAUCUACUCUAAUCUCUGUCUCGGAUAUGGCAUGUUUCGACAUCAUCUCUUCCCAAUCUAUAGCAUGGUAUUUUUUCAAAUUAACACUAAAUCUAUCUCCAUACAUCGUUUUAACAUCAUAGAAAGAUUUUGGAGACAGUCCUCAAAAGUAGUGCCAAAAAUAAAUAAAUUAAUCAUAAAAAUCUCAAUAUCAUUAUCCCUCAUGUCAGAGAUAUCCCACCCAACAGCUUCUUUAUGUGCUUUUAGAAUACCUACAAGUUGGGCUUCCUGAUUAGGGAUCACUAGAAGGGUGUCAGUGGGUGCGUCAGGAAGUGGCUUCAGCUCUAGAGCAGGUGGUGAUUUUAAUAAGAGAGCUAUUAGGGAGUUAGGUGAUGGUUCAUAUUUUUCGAUCUAAAAUAAGAUGGUUUUAAGAUAGGGCGCAUCGACUAGAUCAUUUAUUUUUGUGAUAUAUCCAUCGAUAUCAAAAUCAUCCACCUCGAAGUGAGCUAAAUAGGGAUCUAAAGAAUCCUAGAGAAAAAUUAUGGGUGUAACUUCCUCUAUUAUGUUAUUCAUUUAUGGUCCUUAAGAAGUCUCAAUUAAUUUUAUUUCAUCAAAAAUUCCUCCUUUUCUAUUAUAAGGAAUGGAUGAUUUUAGGACACUUAAGAAUGGGAUCAUAGGUAGGUAAGGUGAUGAUGGAAUUUGUUCAUUCCACCAUUUGAAUUUUUCUCUAAAUAUUUUUACCUUAGUCGAAUUAUCUAUGCUGGUCAUUUUGGUUGUGCGGGAUUGUUUUAUUAUCAGUUCAUUUUCGAGAGUCAUAAUCGAUUGUUCAGAAAAAAUUACAGGGACAUUAAAAUUUCUAGCCAGGUAUUGUCCCUCUGGAUUUCUCUCAAACUGACUAAACAGCUCUCUUUCCUCUUCCUUACUGAUUGUAAUUACUGAUUGAUCGACUUGAAUUUCUAUUUUGACUAAGGAUUGUGUAAAGGAGUGAAGAAGCUGAUUGGUGCUUUCAAUCCUAUAUAGUGCUUGCAAAACUUUUUCUUCAAAUGAUGAGCUAUAGAUAGUUGGAGAAGGUUGAUAUUGCGAAUAAGGCAUAUCGUAAUAGGGUGCUUCUACAAACGUAGAUCGUUGUGUUGUCGGGAUAACCACUGAUUGUGGUUUCUAUAAAAAAUUUGAUUGAACCCCCCAACUUAGAUUGUAGUCGUUAAAGAAUGGGUUAUUUCCUAGUUCGUAGGCUAUUUGGGUUUGAUCUUAAUGAAUUUGCUCAUACCUAAACUCAAAAAAAUUGGUGCACGGCUGGACAUUCAACUUGUGUAGGAAGAAAAGAUGUAGAGAGUGUCUAAUAGCUGGUACAGAUCUAAUGUAUGAGACAGCUCAUCCUUUGUAUUGUUGAAAUCUAUAUUUCUAGCACAGAUCUAAUUUAUCGGAUUGUUCUGAUUAUUUUAAUAUACAAUCAAGGGGUCCAGAUCAAAACAAUCGCUUUCUGAAUUUUUUUUUUUCAGAAAGAGGGAGAGAAGAAGAAGAAAAGAUGGAGAAAGAGAGUUCUAAAGAUGAGAAUCUCAAGAGAGUUCUAGACCUAGAGACGAUAGAUGAGAAGGUUGUUUUAAUUAUUUUUUUUUAUUUUUUAAACAAGUGAUGCAAUCAAAUCAACUCUAUCCUAAGAUUAUCCUAGAUCUAGACAGCUUCUAACUGUCAAAGUCACCUUCGAGCACUCCAAGUAAAAGAUUAGCCACUCAACUGGCCAAGUGUAAGAUUGGUGGGGGUCCUCCCAUUGCUUUCUUUAGACACCAACUAAGUUGGUCAGAUCAGCAAACAAAACUAAUUAAUAAACCACCUUCUUUCGGGACGUAAUCUCUGAACCAUUUUUUUAGACACCAAUUAAACUGACCAAUCUUAACCCGAUCUAAUUCUUAGGAUUCUUUAUCCUAUUGCGCUCGAGAGUCCUUAGGGGCCAACGUCUAAUUAAUUUUAAGUUAGAGGCUUAGAUCAAUGCAAAUGCAGGAUUGUGAUUUAUUGGCCAAGGAAGGGUGAUCAAAUCUCCACCUUGUUUAAUUGGGUUAAGUGCCUUUAAAGUAUUUUAUGAAAAUAUGCAAUGCAAAAAGAAAAGGUGUCCAAAUAUGUUAAGUAGCUUUUAAGAUUUAAUUAGUUUAUUUAUAUUAGUCAAGUGUUAUGUGGUGUUUUUGUAUUCUUUUUAUUUUAUGUUAUCUUUAAGCAAGAAGGAAUAAGAGGUAAGUUUUAAAUUAGGUUAAUUAGGUAUGAGAAGAUCUAGUGAAUCUAACUAAAUGGAAAGUAAAUAAUGUUAAGAUUAAAAGGCAAGUAGAUAACCUACAAAUAAAGUAACAAAUCAAAUCUAUUUUUAGGACAAUAAAUUAUUUUAAGCUAUGGAAAAUAAUAAAUCACUAGGAAUAAUAAGCAGUAAUAAAUAAGAUAACUACUUAACUAUGCAAUUAAGGUAAUCUUAUAGUUAAGAAUAAAAGGUAACUAUAUAAUCUAAAUAAAAGGCAAGGAGUCUAAUCUAUUUAGAAAAUAGAAAAUCACUAAUUAUAUAAAGCAGUAAAUUAUUCUAAGCUAUAGAAUGCAGUAAAUCACUAAGCUAUAGAAAGUAAAAAGUUUUUCUAUGCAUGCAAAUAAAGUAAUCUGGCUAAAGGGCAGUAAAUCUAUCAUAUAUGAGAAGCAAUAUAAGAUAGAAAUUUAAAAAAAAAAAAUAGAAGAUAAUUAAGCAAUUAAAGUAAAUUAAUUAACAAUAAAAAGUAAAUUAUCAAUCAGCAAAAUAAAGUAUAAAAAAUAAGAGUGCAAAAGAAGAAAAUAAUCAACUAGAAAAAUAAAGUAGUAAUUUUUUUUUUGAUUUUUUUUUCAAAACAAUUGCGUCAAGAUCUCCGACAACGGUGCUAAAAUUUGAUACGUUGUAGCAUACCAAAAUUAAUUCUACUCACUACUAUGUAGAUAGGAUGAGUCGGAAUCGUAUCUAUAGGGAUCUUAGGCCGAUUAUUUUGAAAAUACAAACAAAAAAAAUAAUAGAUUGUAAGAAACUAAGAAUGAAACAUGGAGAUUGCAAUAAAAAUAUUUUUCAUUGAUCAAAUAAAAAAGCAUACAUAAUGGAAAAGAAACAAAAGUGCGAUACAAGACAACUAAACCAGGUUGAACUUCUCACGAUACCCGAUGGUGGAUGUGCCUCCUUGAAUCCUUCAUCUUCCUUUGUGCAGACAGCGGUAGGAUGACUGGAAGGCUUGGUUUAGGAACUCGAAGGAAGAAAGGUAGAUAGAAGAGGGUAUGGGAAUAUGAAAAGAAUAGCAGCACUAGGCUUAGGACCUCUCUUAGAUUUGAUGGAAGGCAUGCUAGGGUUAGGACAUCUCCUAGACUUCUUAGGAUGUGGAGAAUGGAUCUAUGGAAGAAUAUGGUAUCGUGCUAGGGUUAGUAUCUUCCCUAGACUUAUGGAGAAGAGAAAAAGAGAGAUAGGGGCAGCAGCUUGGAGAGAAACUUAGGCGUUGGCUUGAUGAAAAGAGAGAAAGAGAAGAGCUUUGAUGGAGGAGAGGAGGAAGAGAGAUUGAAGAAGAUGAAGAACCCCACAAGGGGGCUGAGUGAUUGAGAAAGGAGGGCUAGGGUAUAUUUAUAGAGAGGAGGCUAGAGUUUCAUGAAAUGAAAGGUGAGAGCAUAAAUAAAGAUCCUUGGAUCUUCAUAUUGCUUCUCCUCCAUUGAUCAAUAAGUCGCAUUCACACUUGGAUCUUCAUGAAGAGUGAUCUUUUAAUCUGAGCCCUUGAGAUUUAGGUUAUGUUCACACUUAGUUCCAUUUAUCUUCUAAUCUGCGCUUUUGAUUGAAGAGGUUGCUUCUUGACUCUUGAUCUUUAAGUUGCAUUCACACUUGAGUAGGAGCAGGUUGCCUGGUUCACUCAAUUCUGAUCCGAUUUGAGUCCAAUUUGAAUCGUAUGAACUCAAACUCCUAAUUACCUGCAAACUAGACUAGAGAGCAUCAAAACUCAAUAAAAUAACAUCAAUUAUCAUAAUAUUUAAUGUCUCUGGUGAUUUAAAUUAAAUGUUCAUCAGUUAUACAGAUGUAGAUUGGAUAGGAUCUCCUUCAGAUAGAUGAUAUAUCUCUGGGUAUUGUGUCUUUUUUUAUGGUAAUCUUAUCUCGUGGAAGAGCAAGAAGCAGGAAGUUGUUGCUCGUUCCAAUUCUAAGGUGGAAUAUUGUGCUAUGACUUUAACCACAUGUGACCUGGUAUGGUUAAAGUCUCUCUUAGGAGAGCUUGGGGUUAUUCAGUCUGAGCCUAUGAAAUUGUUCUAUGAUAAUCAGGCUGCUCUUCAUAUUGUCUUGAAUCUUGUAUUUUAUGAGCAUACAAAGCACAUUAAGAUAGAUUGUCAUUUUGUUCGAAAAAAGCUACAGUCUGAUAUUAUUUCUACGACUUUUGUGAGCACUAAUAAUUAGCUAGUUGAUAUGUUUACUAAGUCAUUGAGGGGUCCGAGGAUUGAUUAUAUUUGUAACAAGUUGGAGCUCCAUAAUAUUUACGCUCCAGCUUGAGGGGGAGUGUUGGAAUAUUAUUAUAUUUGGAAAGAUAUAUUUGGAAAGCAUGACAAUUUCUCCAUACAAAAUAUAUCAAUUUCUCCAUCAACCGCACUAUCCUUGAUUUUGCAUCAUUUGAAUUUUUUCUUUAUUUAUUUUCCGCAAUCAUGGGAUUGUAUCUUUUCUUUAUUUAUUUUCCAUAAUCACGAGAUUUUGUGUGGAUCUUGGUGUAUUAUAUAUAUUUGCAAACUAUGCAAUAGAUCAACAAGCUUCAUCUUUUUCCCAUUUGACAAGUUUAAAGUUAUAAUUUCAUAUAUUAAUAAACUAUCAGUCAAUUGUGUAAUGCUCCAUCAACAGGUAUUUGACAUCUCUAUUACUAUCUACAGGCAAUAUUAUAUUAAUAAACUAUCAGUCAAUUGUGUAAUGCUCCAUCAACAAGUAUUUAACAUCUCCAUUACUAUCUACAGACAAUAUCUUGUAGUUUUGUGAAGUUUACUAGCUGAAGUCCUAUUUGCAGAAUUUCUCCAUCCUUGUGAGGACUCAUUUUUCUAUUUGCCUUUUCACUGCCGGUGUACUUGUACCAUUUUUUAACUUUUAUGAAAUGAUAAACUCAUUAUGACCUAGAGUAUUUAGAAAACAAUUUAUUGGAUUGGAGUAAGAUCAUUGAUCUAAAAAGGCUGAUAGAGGUGAAAGUAUGUGCAUGGAUCUAUUUUUCUGAGGGUGGAAGUUCUUUGAUGGAAAUUCAAGAGUGGUGCCAUUAAAGAUAAAGCAGUAGAUUGGAAUGCUAUAAAAUCGUGAUAAAUCAGUAGUAACUACAGAUUUAUUAGGCAAGGUUAUUGCUUAUCUUGAUGAUUUGGCAAUUAAAGAAAAUAUCUGACAUCAUUCUUUUCAUCGUAAUCAUCCUGGCAUAUCCCUUUUAACUUGUAUGGUUGCUAUCUUUCAUAUCAAGGGUCUGAUGUAUAAUUUCCAAAUUGGAUUGCUCUUAGCUUAACUAAGAUUAAUAAAAAUGGAUCAGCAACCAAAUUGGUAUUUCUUCCUACAUAGUUCUGUUGGGUUGUUUUUGUUGCUGCAAGGCUUCAAUGGACAGUCGGCGAGGUCGGUGAUGAACCGAACUGAGUUGCUUCUUGGUUGAACAUGACAGAGUUUGCGAUGAUUCCUACAAAGAUAAUCUCAAAACCGGUGAGGUAUCCUCCAGUUUAAGACCCUCCGAUAGUUAAGUCAGAUGAAGCCUUGAGGAUAGGUAGUGGAAACGAGAGAAUAGAAAGAUGAGAAAAGAGAUUGUGGGCAAAAUAGAGAGAAACUCUUGUUCUCUUCAGUGGGGGAGCUGAAAAUAAUUCAGCAGAAUCUUGGUUCUAUCCUUCCAGACUUACCUUCGGAGGAUACCUUGCCCCCUCUAUAUAGAGGAGGUGAAGAGGCCUCAUUUAGAUUGUUAGGCCAUUAGGAAAGUUUGUUACGCCGUUAGUUUGUUGUAAUAGAAUGGCCAGCUGUAUAGAGAUAGUGGGGUGUUUGCCCAUAUGGCAAUUGGCUGUAGUAUAGCUGGAAGACAGUUGGUGCUGAGUUAGAUGACAGCUGAUGCUGAGCAGGAUGACAGCUGUCGAAUGACUAUUUGCAGUUUGGUGGUACAUCGAUAAUCUAUCAACGUGACAUAGCUGAAUUCGGUAACUUACUGAACUGAGUAUCAUAUAUCUCCUUACUAUCAAUAAUCAUAUUGGCUGAAGACCGAUAUAACUCAUCGCAAAUCGGCCAACAAUCGAGGUGAGCAUUAUACUUUAAGAACAAUCCCGAGCAAAUCGGAUCAACCAAAUACCAGAUUGAAGAAGCAGAUCAAAAAAUGAUCGAUAUGACCUGAAAGAGAAUUCAUGACAGAUAAUAAUCCAUUGCCACGUAUCCAGAUGAUGAGGUCAGAUAACAUACACCAACAUAUGGCCCCCACUUUUUAGACCAAAGUGCAGUUUCUCACAUCAGGCAUGAAAAGUCUUUCCAGAAGAUCUCAUUUGACUCGUAUUAUCGUCAUAAAUACUUUGUACCAUUGAUGGUUGAUAAUAUUAAUUUUUUAAUCAUUCGAAGUGACACAUCGUUUCUCGAAAGUGGUCCGUCAGACUUAAUAAUGAUGAGCACUUAGAAAAUUAAAAAUUUAUAAUUAUUUGAGCGGCUAUUCUCUAAUGUGCGCGCGCCAAGUGUCACAAUGCAAUUGGUUGCUUUAGCUAUCACACAGAUCCUGCUUACGUGGUUUAAUCAAGAAGAGGUGCAUCGAAAUGGCUCUCUGUAGGAUCGUUAGAUGGUCGACAAAUGGCAUUAAUCCAAUGGCACAUCAAAUCAAUCUGAGCCGUUGGUAAGCUUUAUAAAUAGGCCUAUAUUUCGUUCAAAAAUCAUUUUACUAUUUUCUUUGAUGUGGAAGUCUUGCCGAAAUUUUUUCGGAACCCCCACAUCACCGGCAUCGAAGAAGAGACUCUCUCUAAAAGCAACUGGAGCCGAAAAAGAAAGAAGCAGAGAGGUUCUUUAAAAGCUUCCUCAGAUCUCUUAUUUCUCAUUAGGUAUUUAUUUUUGGCCUCCGUUCCUUGAAAAUCUGAGGUUUCGGAUUUUUGCAAUCCUCUUUCCUUUUUCUUUGGCAGCUUUUCCUCUCUUUUUUCCCUUUUCGUCCACCUUUGCUCUCUUCUUUUCCUUCAAAGAUGUCUUUCGGUAGUAGCAACAAGAUAAGUCAGGGCAAUUGGGUACCUCGAUCGACCCAACCGGUACUCAAGUUCGAGGUGGAAAGUUCAUCUGACAAUAACUAAGGUUAGUGCCUCAGGUCGAGAUAAUCCUGAAUCUCCUAAGGGAUCUUCUGGGUUAUCUCGGUCCGAGUACUAAACAAUCCAUCCUGAUUGAUCUCGACCUUCAGGAACUUAGGAAAAAAUAUCUAAUUCCUGAAGAAUUCCAACUCAUAGCUCCAGGUGGGAUGGUAGGGUUACCGAACCUCCAGAAGGUUGUGUCACAUUUUAUGAUGAGGCACUUCGGUUUGGGCUUCGAUUUUUCUUACAUCCCUUUUUCAGUAAUGUAUUUGAUUUCUAUAGACUCCGUCUAGCUCAAACCACUUUCAAUGCUAUUAGGAUGAUCAUAGUAUUCAUCAUUUGUUUUAAAUUUUCCACCAUAGACCUUAGGAUUUCUCUCUUUAGGGCAUCGUUCACCUUAAAGAAACAUCCUUAUGAGAAAGGCUGGUGGUACUUUUCACCUUGGCCUAAGUACAAAUUUGGCCUUGCUCUUCCUUCCUCAAUACAUAAUUGGAAAAAUCACUUUUUCUUUAUCUCUUCCAAUGUUCCAUGGGGUUUUAGCUGUAAAUGGUGUAAUCCUGAAAUCAAAUAAAACUCAAAUAAUGAAGUAUUAACAGAGGAUGAGGAGGCUUUUGCAGAGCUUUUAUGUAAAAAAGUACCUAAGUUGAGCUUACUGGUAUCCGACCAAUCCUUAUUUAAUGCCGGCAUCAGUCAGAUUUCUCUCCAGGAUAAGUCCAAUAUUAAUUCUCUUUCUUCGUUGCUUUGUCAUUUUUCAUCAUUUUCCUUCUUUAACAAUUUCUGUCUUUGUUAUAACGGCAAUAAUGAAGUUCAACCCGCAAAGGCUGACUGAGUCGAAGAAGAGGAAGCAGGAUCUACCCAACCAGCCUACCCUCAAGAAGAAAAUAAAGACAUUGCUCCCUCGAGAUCGGCUGCCCCCCCGAUCAUCAUUGGAGAUUAUAUCGAUCAAUACGGAUGCUGCACCGAUCUCCACUCUCCCAUCGACAAAAUCAACUCACCAAACUACCGAGGUGGUUCGUCCACCUUCAAAGGAACCUGCACACCUUAAGUAGGCAACUUCUCCAAUGCCCCCUCCAACGUCGGCCAAGUCAACUCGGCCAGCUGACCAGCGUUCUAAGUCCCAAACUCCCGAUGCCAACCUGCCAUCCUCUUCGUCGGACAAGAUCGACCUGGCGAAGGCAUCAUUACUGGAGACACCAAGAUUAGGCAGAGAUUUGUUCAGCAAGAUGAUGCCUCAGAAGGAUUUGAAUGCUCGGAGGAGGGAUCUCUCCUUGGAUCAACUAAUAAACUAGGGAUUUAAUAGUAUCAUGGAUGUGAGUUUUUACUUUUUUCCAUUCAUUUUUUUUUACAUCAGCUAUUUACUAACCUAACAAUGUCCUUUUCUGUAGUCAACCAUGUAUUUCAAGUUGCUCCAUGAGCACUUGACAUGGUUUUUUGAAAAUAAGAAGUCCCUGGAAGAGGGGCUUAAGGCCGAGAAGGAGGCCGAGAAGGCGACCAAGGAGGCCAAGAAGGUAGCAGAAAAGAAGACUACCAAAAAAAGCGAAACAAUAGAGGGGCUGAAGAAAUAGCUCCAAAAGAAGAUGGAAUCUAUAAAAAAAAAAGAAUAAGCAGCUUCUAGAUAAUCAACGCCAAAUGAAUGAUAAAGACAAUAAGCUGCAGAAACAAACUGACAAAAUCUCGGAGCUGGAGACUAAGCUGAAGGAAGCUGAGGAAACAAUUGAAAAGCGGGAAGCACCCCUUGUUUCAUAUCAGAGACAGCUCGAUAAAGACAAGGAGCGGAUAUCCAGGGUCAUUGAAGACUACAAAAAUUCCGACGCUUUUCAAGAUGAACUCAUCGAAGCUUCAGAAGGAGCCUUCGACUAUGGCUUUUUGAACUGGAGGAGUUUAAUCAUUAAACUCUUUUCUGAUCUUGAUCUUAGCAAGGUCACAAUAGAAGCAGCUCUAGAAGCAGCAGCUGAGGUGACUUUUAGGACUACUGCCGAGCAGCUUCCUCCUACUCCUACCUUCGAAGUUCCUUCGAUCGAAGUCCCGGCCAGUCCAAUCGAAGUUGUCAUUGUUGAAGCCACUCCGAAGGAGGAAGUCAACAAAGAUUCUACCUCAGCUCCUCCGGCAAACAACUCCCAGUCUAAGGCCCGAAUUGUUUCUUCUUCCCCUUUUUUUUAUUAGCCUAAAUAGCUUUCAUAUUAAUGAAAUGAAUUUUCCAAUGUUACUAUAUUCUUUCUCCUUGGAUGACCCGAGUUGGGUUUCGAUGACUUAGAAAAUAUCAUUCACAACAAAGUUAUUUUCUGACUUCGGUCAAAUGAUCAUAAAUAUAUGUGAUCUAAGCUUGAUUAAGUAAGCAACCAAAUAUUAAUCAUUUUCGAACCAAGCAAAUAACUAAGUCAAUGUGAUCUACUAUAAUAAGUUGUCAUCGAAUUGAACCAUAUCAACCAAUCAAGAGAUAAAUUGAUCUCUAAUAACUCACUGUAAAGGUUCUGAAAGUACCUUUAAUUGAGUUCAGAAUGGCAGGUCGGAUUCUUUCAUCUAUGAGUUUGUGACCCGUGCUGCCUUUUUGCAACCUUUGUUAUUAAUCGCUUUGAGCUGAAGCCCAAUUUUGGAGAUGAGGCAUCUCCGAUCAUCUCAUGAAUUCUCAUCUGGAGAUCGGAUGUUCUAUAUCACCUCGCAAGGUCCAAUCUGGAGAUUGGGUAUCUCACGUUGUCUUGUGAGGUCCAAUUCGGAGAUCAGAUGUCUCACGUCAUCUUGUGGGUCCAAUCCAGAGAUCGGGUGUCUCACAUCAGGUUGUUCUAGUUUGGUUGGGAUUCCUAUAACCCUAUUUCGACUUUCUCCCGACCUUGUUUGGACAUCUAGAUCUUUUUUCUCAUGUACUAUAUCGUCUCACUUGAUUGGGUUUUAUCAAUCUGAUUGGGAUGAGGAAAAAUUUUUCAAUGAAACUUUUGAUUAGGAUUUUAUCUUCAUUGAGACAAAUCAAAUAUUUUAUUAAAAAUUUUAUUGAUAGUACAUUCUGAAAUUUUCAGCAUUCCAUAUUCUUGGAAUGACUGUGCCAUUUAGAUUUUCAAUUCGGUAAGCUCUUGGAUAGAUCAUCUUGAUAAUCCGAUAAGGCCCUUCCCAAUUUGGAGCAAGUUUUUCUUGCUCCGUUGGUUUCGAGACUUCAACUCGUCGGAGAACCAAAUCAUCCUUAUAAAAAAUCUUAGGCUUUACCCGAGUGUUGUAAUACUUGGCCACUUCUGCUUAUAAACCGCCAUGCGGAUUUGCACUCUUUCUCGAGUUUCAUCAAGUAAGUCAAGACCAGUUUUCAACCGAUCUGAAUUUUUUUUUUAUGAAAAUUUUCUAUUCUGGUCGUAGGUAGACCGAUCUCAACUAGUAUUAUGGCUUUUGCUCCAAAAGUGAGUUUAAAAGGUAUUUCUCCAGUUGGCCUACAAGGUAUAGUUCUAUAUGCCCAGAGAACAUUAUAAAGUUUUUCUGUCCAGGGUCUUUUAGCCUCAGUGAGCCUUGUCUUCAAGCCCUGAAGGAUGAUUCUAUUAGUGACUUCGGCUUCUUCAUUUGACUGCGGAUGACCAACCGAAAUAAACUUAUGGUCUAUAGAGCUCAGAACAAAAUUUUUUAAACUUUUGAUUAUCAAAUUGCUGCCUAUUAUCAGUAAUUAUGACUCGAGGCAAAUCGAAACGGCAAAUAAUUGAUUUUCAUAUAAAAUCCCUCAUCUUUUUCUCAAUAAUUUGUGCCAGAGAUUCAGUUUCUAUCCAUUUGAUAAAAUAAUCAAUAGCCACAACCAAAAUUUUUUUCAUCCAAUGGCCAUUGGGAAGGAUCCCAGAAUAUCCAUUCUUAAUAUAGCAAAAGGCCAUAGUGCUGUCAUAGAAUUAAGUUCUACUGUAGGCUGGUAUUGAAUGUUAGCAUACCUUUGACACUGAUCGCAUUUAUUAACAAGGUCGGUGAAUCUUUUUGAAUAGUAGGCCAAUAAUAACCUUAUCGGAUUAUUUUAUAAGCUAGAGACCUGCCCUCCAAGUGAUUGUCACAAAUUUUUUCAUGAACUUCUUGAAGGAUGUAAUCGGCUUCCGACAGCCUAGGCAUCAAAGUAGCAGAGAUGAAUAUGACAUCUUAUAUAGUUGAUUGCCUUGAAUGACAUACUAUGGGGCCUAUCUUUUAAUUUUUCUUGCUUCAACCAGAUCAGCUGGCAGAGUCCCUUUAGUAAUAUGCUCCAUCAAUGGAUCAAUCCAGCUUGACUCACGUUCAAUUUGGACAAUCGGCAAAAUCUUAAUACUGGGCUUUUCAAGAACAUCAAUGAGAACACUUUGAUUAAGCUUGAAAAAAACUCGAUGUGGCCAAAUGAGAUAAUGCAUCAGCUCGGAUGUUUUUCGAUCUUGGUAUUUGUAUGAUUUCUAAAUCUUUAAAGUUUUUUAAUAAUUCUUUUAUAUUAUUCAAAUACUGAGAUAUUAUGGAAUCUUUAGCUUCAAAUUGACUUAGUACCUGAUCGACGACAAGUUGAAAAUCAGUAAAAAUUUUAAGUUCUUAACAUUGAGCUCUUUAGCCAUUUCAAGUCCCACAAUGAGUGCCUCAUAUUAUGCUCCAUUGUUUGAUGCAUCAAAAUUAAAUCUCAAGGCACGCUCAGUCACAAUGCCUUCUGGGCUUGUCAGAAUUAAAUCAGCUCCACUUUCUUUAGAAUUUGAGGCUCCAUCAACAUGUAGUACCCAAUAAGAAUUUUUUUUGACAUUCUCCAAGCUCUUCAAGAUUGGUUCUUCAUCAGGGAUAAAGCAUUCGACAAUAAAGUCAGCUAACACUUGAGCUUUUUGAAGAUCGAGGUCGAUAAUAAAUAUCUAAUUCACUUAAUUUAAUGGCCCACUUGGCUAUCUGAUCUGAAGUGUCAAGUUGCUAUAAGACUAAUUUUAGAGGUUGAUCGAUCAGAACUAUAACAGAAUAAGCCUGAAAAUAAGGUUGGAGUCAUCUUGUCGAUAUAAUGAGAGCAUAAAUCAUUUUCUCAGUUUUAGAAUAUUGAGUUUCAGCAUCUCUAAGCAAUUUACUUAUAUAGUAAAUUGGUUUCUAUAUCCCUGCAUCAUCUCGGACUAAAAUUGAACUAACAGCAUUAGCUGAAACAAAUAAAUAUAUGAAUAAUUUCUCACCUUCCACUGGCUUCGAUAAUAAUGGAGCUGUCCCAAGAUACUUCUUGAGAUCGUCGAAGGUAGCUCGGCAUUCAUCCGACAAAUUGAAGUCUUUGAUCUACCUUAAUAUUUUAAAGAAAGGAAGAUAUUUUUCAGCUGACGUGGAGAUAAACUGACUGAGUGAUGCUAUCCAUCCAAUAAGUUGCUGUACUUCUUUGAUGGAGCUCGGAUGCUUCAUUUUAAGUAGAGCUCGGAUUUUCUCAGAAUUAGCUUCAAUUCUCUUUUGAGUUACAAGAAAAUCUAAAAAUUUCUCCGAAGUAGCUCCAAAAGCACAUUUAUUGGGGUUGAGCUUCAUUUGAUAUUUUCGUAGUUUCUCAAAGAUUUCUUCCAGAUCGAUAAUAUACCGGUCUGACUAGGUAUUUUUUACCAACAUAUCAUCAACAUAGACUUUCAUAUUACGAUCAAUUUGUUACUUAAAGAUUAUAUUCACCAAGCAUUGAUAUGUAGCACCGACAUUUAUAAGACUAAAAGGAAUCAUUUUAUAGCAAUACAAAUCUCUUUCGAUGAUGAAGAUCGUACUUUCUUCAUCUUCAGAUGCCAUCCUGAUCUAAUUAUAGCCAGAAAAAAUAUUCAUGAAACUAAGCAAUUUAUGUCCUAAAGUAAGCAUCAACAAGCUGGUCAAUCUUUAGGAAAGAAAAAUUAUCUUUUGAACAAAUUUUAUUGAGAUCGGUAUAAUCAAUACAAAUCCUUCAUUUUUUAUUAGCUUUUUUAACCAUAACAAUAUUUGUGAUCCACUUCGGAUAUUGUGCUUCUCUGAUGAAUUUUGCUUUCAAGAGUUUGUCGACUUCCUCAUCUAUUAUCUUUUGCCUUUCUGGGGCGAAGCUUCUUUUUUUUUGUUGCAUCGAUCUAUGUUUCAAAUCAACAUUUAGCUUAUGCACAAUAACAUCAGCUGAGAUCCCAGGCAUAUUAGAGGUUGACCGAGCAAAGACAUCGGCAUUCAUCCAAAAAAAAGAUAUUAGUUUUUUCUUCAAGUCUAGCUUCAAUAGAGACCCAAUUUGGAUAGUCUUUUCUGGAUCAUCACCCAAAGGAAUAGUAAGAAGUUUCUCAGCUGGUUCUCCUUGAUUUUUGCUGAUAUCAACUUUACUUUCUUGAUCAUGUAUUUCAAUUGGUAGAGCUUUCAUGGGUCUUUUCAUUUUUGUGGCUAUCAAAAAGCACCGCUUAGCAAGCAUCUAGUCUUCCCGUAUUUCUCCGAACCAUAUUUAGUAGGGAAUCAGACUAAUAAAUGAUAAAUGGAGACUACAGCUUUAAGGGUAUUGAGCUCAGAUCGGUCAAGAAUAGUAUUGAAAGCUGAUGGUAUUUUGACAAUCAAAAAAGUGAGUCUCACAGUUGACUGACAAGACUCCAUUCCUACGGUGAUGGGCAGAGUGAUCUCCCAUUCCACAGCCACAAAAUUUUCAGAAAACCCAAUUAGGGGGGUGCUGACCUGUUUUAACUGAUCUGCCAUAUACAUUUUUUGAAAAGCAUCAUAGAACAUGUCAGCAGAGGUUCUAUUAUCCACCAAUAUUCUUUUUACAUCAUAUUUUGCUAUUGUCAUGGAGACGACAACAGCAUCAUUAUGAGGAAUUUGAGUUUAUCUGACAUCAUCAUCAGAAAAUGAAUUUGUGUUAUAUGUGCGCAGAUGCUUUGGGAAGCUCUCGGUUACUUUAGCUGCCCUCUCAGUCCCACCAAGAUUCGAGAUCAUGUUAAUAACUCCAGCCGUAGGUUUAUUGAGAUCAUUUUCAUUAUCGGGCUUCUAUCAUUGGUUAGUAAUUUGAUUUGCCCGAUCUUGAACAUAUUUGCUCAGGUGACCUCGGCAGAUCAGUGCUUCAAUUUCAUCUUUUAACUGCUGACACUCAGUAUCGUGGCCAUAGUUUCGGUGGAAACAUCAAUAUUUUCUCUUAUCUCUCUUUGGUAGUGGGGCCUUCAUGGGAUUAGGAUGGCGUAGAUACCCCUAAUCCUCGAUUUCCAUUAGUAUCUGAGCUCGAGGAGCAAAUAAUGAAGUAUAAAUAUCAAAUCGCCAAGGUGGGCUUUCGGACCUCGAAUUCUUUCGAGGUUGCUCAAAGUUAUUUUGCUGGUUUCUAUGGUCUUCUUCUCAGGGCCGCUUUUUCCCAUCUCUUUUUUUCUUCGCUUGAGGAGUAUGCUCUUUUCUUCUUCUUCAGCUUGAGUAUACUUUCGAACUCGGAUUAAUAUCUGCUCAUAAUUAUCUAGAUAAUUUUUAUUAAGGGAGAAGAUCAGGCGAUUGCUCCUAAAUCCUUGCUUCAAAACUGCCAUUGCAAUGGACUCAUUGAAGUUCUUUACUUCCAAUGUGGCGGCAUUAAAGCAUGCUGCAUAUUCUCGAAGAGAUACAUCUUUCUGCUGUUUGAUAGUAAAAAGACUAUUAGUAUUCUUCAGAUGAAUCCGAUUAUUACAAAAAUAUGAAAUGAAUAGUUUGGCCAACUACUCGAAAGAUGAAAUAGAUCAUGGCUAGAGGUUGGAGAACCAAAUUCUCAUAGAUUUUUUAAGAGUGAUUGGGAAAGUAAUGUAGAGUAGUGCAUUAGAUGCCCUCUGCAAUCUCAUGAUGACCCUGAAGCCUUCAAGAUAGUCUAAAGGAUCAGUGGAGUCAUCAAAUGAUUCCACCGCAGGCAUCUUGAUCCGGGAAGAAAUCGGUUCAUCAAGAAUUUCUUGAGAAAAAGGGGAUCGCAAGUUGAAAUCGCUUCCACCAUGAGAAUGGCUUCCAAUCUGUGUCUCCAUCAACUUGUUCUCAAGAUCUUGGAUCUUUUGUCCAAGACCUUCUUCCACAUUUAGCUUCUUAUGGGGAGUAAAUUUCACUUCCCAAGAUUGAUCGGUAAGAUCAAGAAAAUGAUCAUGGCGAGGAUCUUGAGGUGCUGGUUGCUGAGAAUGAUGUGAUUGAAUCAUUUGGGGGGUGGCUUCUUGUUGCCUUUCUGUAGUACGCUGGAGUUGUUAUACUGCAGCAGUAAGAGCUUGGACCUGCUAGAUCAAGAGAUUGAAUUGCUGUGGAUCAAUAGUAAUUGAUAGUUGGACAUUUUCUUGACCAUCUCUAGGAAAAGAUGAAGCAGGUAAAGGCUGAUUCGGUGUUUUCUUGUUCACCAUGUCCAUAAGAAAUUUUCAAAGUGCCCUCCUAACGCCAAUCUGUUGCUACAAAGCUUCAGUGGACAGUCGACGAGGUCGGUAAUGAAUCAAACUAAGUUGCUUCUUGGUUGAACCCGAUGAAGUCUGUGAUGAUUCCUGUAAAGACAGUCUCAAAAUCAAUGGGGUGCCCUCCAUUUUAAGACCCUCCGAUGGUUAAGUUAGAUGAAACCUUGAGGACAGAUAGUGGAAAUGAGAGAAUAGAAGGACGAGAAAAGAGAUUGUGGGCAAAAUAGAGAGAAGACUCUUGUUUUUUUCAGUGGGGCUAGCUGAAAGUGAUUCAACAAAGUCUUGACUCUAUCCUUCCAGACUUACCUCCGGAGGAUAUCUUACCCUCCUUUAUAUAGAGAGGGUGAAGAGGUCUCGUUCAGGUUGUCAGGCCGUUAGGAAAAUUUGUUAGGCUGUUAGUUUGUUGUAAUAGAAUAACCAGCUGUAUAGAGAUAGUGGGGUGUUUGCCCAUGUGGCAAUUGGCUGUAGUAUAGCUAGAAGACAGUUGGUGCUGAGUUGGGUGACAGCUGACACUGAGUUGGAUGACAGUUGCCGAAUGACCGUCUGCAGUUUGAUGGCACGUCGAUAAUCUACCGACGUGGCAUAGCUGAAUUCGGUAACUUAUUGAAUUGAGUAUCAUAUAUCUCCGUAGUAUCAAUAACCAUAUCGAUUAAAGACCGACAUAACUCAUCGCAGAUCGGCUAACAACCGAGAUGAACAUUAUACUUUAAGAACAAUCCGGAGCAAAUCGGAUCAACCGAAUACCAGAUUGAAGAAGCAGAUCGAAAAAUGACCGAUGUGACCUGAAAGAGAAUUCAUGACAGAUAAUAAUCCAUCACCAUGUGUCCAAAUGAUGAGGUCGGAUAACAUAUACCAACAGUUUUAAAUAAAUAUCCUAAUUUUAUAGGAAAUAAUCCAACAAGCCAAUAAAUUAAAAAGCAAAGAACCUGAUAGCUUUUUAUUUUCUCCUAUACUGUAGAUUUUUAAACUGUAAUUAAGAAGCAUAAAUGUGCACUUACAAAAAUUUAAUUUGUAAUUCUGAGACAUAUAUUGUAUUGACCUAAGUUGAUGCAUAUUUAUAUCAUGAGUUGUUGUUUGUAAGGAAGUUGUGUGGUUAUUCCCUUCUCCUGACCUGAUGAAGGAUAAAUGUUUCAUAGAAUAAAUACGGAUGCUUGCACAUUCAGAUAUAUAUUAUGUCAGCCAAAUCAGAUCCUCUCGAUCUGGAGAAUUCAACAGUCUAUAAGUAUCCAUCACCAAUACCCUCACUGAUAUCCAGACAGUAUGGUUUUAGUAAUAGAAUCUAAGGAGAAUAGGACUAACCCUAAAUUUUUCCAAUACAAUACAGAGCACAUCCACUGACACAUGUCACAUGUAUUUUGAGAGAAUUCAUAGUUUACAUGUCAAGAUCUGUUCUUAGAAGGAAGUGAUUCAUACUUAAGAGUAGAAACUUUAUUGGAACAUUUUAUUUUCUGAAAGCCACUGCAAUACUAAAGCUGUUGAUGCUUCAGUUUUCAGUUGGUUCUCGAUGCAUUUGCUCAUCACCCAUUGACAAGCUUGCCAUACUAGAGACGAGGGAGUAACAUAACGUUUAGGUUGUACCUAUUCUUGAACUCAAGCUCAGUUGCUUCUUGGAAGCAUAGUAUUUCACCAAGUGUUAAUAUGAAAGAGUUGCAGGUUCUGGUCGAUGCUUUAUUUCCUAUUUGAGUAGAUAGAGAAGCUUUGGAAGAAUUUUAUUUACAAGAAUCUGGUAUCCUUUCUCUGUAGGAUGAUCGGGAUCCCAAAACAAAUACUUAGUGGCAUCUGGGCAUGUUAAUUGACUCAAAUUGUUGGGCAGAAUGGUGCCUACAAUUUUCCCUGGAUCAAAGCACCCCUUUGUUACUUCCUCAAAUCCUGAAAAAAAAAAUCACAACUUCAAGGAAGAUGUAAUAAGUGUGAUUUUCUCAAUUAAUAAUCAUUGAUGAUGCCAAUGAAGACCAUUCAUCAUCUGAAGAAUAUAAACUACUGCAGAGAGCAUCUUCUCGGUGGAACCUAUUGAUCACCUUGUCAACUACAAUAUGCUGCCUCCCAAAAGGUGACCCUUGAAUGUUAAGCGAGGCCCCAUUUGGUAGCUUGGUCAAUAGUACAGAAUAAGCUUCUUUGCUAAAUAGAUACAAAGGAUAAACGUGAUUAGUACAUUUACAUACCGUAGUCAUAAGGAUGCAUAAUAAGUUCAAGCAAUGGAUUAUAGACAUCAAUGUAGACAAUCUUGGCCCCUGGAUGGUAGGUGGCUAGCCUUUCCACUUCCAUGGAUAGCUCACUAUUGAACUUGAUGGAAGCUUGGUUAUAGGCAUCCACACAAUCCCUGGCAAUUCCUCCUCUUAGAGUUCUUUGUGCAGGCAGACAACCUAUAGGAGGAACACCCACCACACCAAUCUUACGAGGUCCCAAAUUGUACAGUUCCUGCCAAUGAGAAGAAUUUCUCAGUCCAAAAUGAUGAAGCUGUCUUAUGUUUUAUGUGCUUUCGUUCCUUGUGUUGAUGUGAUUCAUAGAAUCAAGGAAUCAUCUAUGAGUGCUACUGUAUACUAGAUGGUCACUGUAACCUAUGUAUCCACUGGGGAGUGUAGAUGUACCUUUAGAAAGCUUGAUGCUGCUUGAAGCACGAAAUUGAUGUAUGAAGGGAGAUCAUAGCUCAGAGCUCUGAUAGAGCUAGUGAAAUAUGUGUUCAUUAAAUCAUCGGUCCCAGCAAAUAUAAUGCAUACACCUUCUGCGACUAUAUCAACUGCUCUAUCUUCACCGACAAUGGCUUGUAACUCUCUCUUGUAUUCUUCGAACAUCUCUAGCUGAUCCCACAAUGAGAAAACUGACUGAAAGUGGCAAAAGGAACAUGAAAAUAUCAUUUUGGCUUCUACAAAUCAUGACAAACUCAUCCAAUUGCGAUGGCUAUUGAUCAUAAAACAAUUGCUCCUAUAAAACAAUAUAUGAAUAUAAGAAUAACCAAUUCAAACUCUACAGCAGAAGCUAUUCAAAUUAACUCUAGGAUCAAGCAAAAGUGAACCAUUUGGACUGCAGUUUAGUGUAAUGCAAGAAAAUAGAAAAGCUAGUUGUCUAGCCCUUUCUUCAGUUGUUCCUUCAUUGACCAAACAAACAAUUUUAGAAUUCCAAGUUAUUCAGGCAUGGUCUUCUUCUUCUUCUUCUCUUUCCUCCCCUAAUUUUGCACGAGAAGGUUGUUCUUAUUAAGUAUCUUUUUCUUUGAUUUGAAAUCACAAUUUCAUUUUGUGUUUAUCUGGUUUGUUUCAUUACUUUGCAAUUUUUUCUUGAUCUUUACAAGAUAAUUAUUGAUCUUAGAAAUGACUAGGGUUUUAAAAUUUUUUGGAAGUCCAAGCAGAAAAUAUGGAAAAGCAAUCAGCACUGACCUGCACUCAAGAACCAAGUGACUUGAAAGGAUGGGUGAAUGUAGAUGUUUUGGUUUUAAGGAAAGCUAAUUCUUUAAAUGGCACACCUUCAAGUGGUAAGUUCUAUAAAGUCAGUGCACUAAAGUACUUUUUAUAAGUCAAUGGAAGAAAAGGAAGUGCUUUUAUUAGAAGUGGAAUAAAUAAAGUAUGAGGCUAACAAAGUUAAAAAAUUUAUACCAGUAAUUCAGCGGUAAGGUUAUCAUAUCCUGCACCACCAGAAGCAAAGCUUACACCAGUGAGCAGGUCUUGUUCCUUUACGUCUGGGUCAAGAUACGCCGGCAAAAGCUCCUUUACUCCCAGCAGAGAUGCUGAUUUGAUUAAAUGACAGGAAGGAACGAUGCAUGAUCAAAUUCUCAGAUAGAUUCUAAAUUUUAGACAGUCAGUACAUGGAGAAACUAUGAAUAUAUUCUUUGUUGGGUUAUAAAAUAUGUAUUGUUAUUGCUUUACCAAUGAAGUCCGUGGGGAUCUUUCCAUUGCUGAACCUUCCUGUUGCUCUGUGUCCUAUGAAGUCCCUUCCAUAUGGAGGGAAGUUGCUCUUGGCAAUUGUCAGGAGCAUGUUGUUGUUGCCUGGGUCGUCAAUGGAGUCUCCAAAUGCAAAGACUGCCGGCACUCGAACUGCUGUCUGGUCUGGGACCAGUGCUUGGGAUUGGAUUAUUGGUAGUGUGACGAAGAGAAAGCAAAUGACAGAAUACAUUCCCAUUAGAAAGCUGAGCUGCUUUUCUGUGCUUGUUUUCUUAUUGCAGAACAUAUUCAUGCAUUAUAUAGUGAAACAAAAGAGACAACCCAACUAACACAGCAUGUUGCCAUUUACUCUCUUGUCAAGUUUUGUAUUAGAGAUCUGCUCUACUCUGCAGUUAGUUUUUGUAUUAGAGACCUUGGUCCAAUGAGGAUUACACUGCUUGGGUUGUAGGGAAGUGAAACCCUCAACAGAGGCCCUUCUCUUUUUUUUUUUUUUUGGUUAGAAAAGUCGCUGGUCUGCUUGGCCAACCCUUAGCCACAGAAGUCCAGAGAAGCGUUUAAUGGGAGCAUUUAAUUUCCUGAUUGGAUUUGAACAAAGCAGUGAUAUCUCAACCCCCAACAGACUUCCAGUUCCAGUAUUUUUGUGUUAAGCUUAUCCAUAUUGAGUCAUCAUACUACCAAAACAACUUUUGAAUGUAUCUUGAUCGGAAGUGUUAGUACUGCACUAAGGUGGUUAUUUUCUUUAGUAGUAUUUGAAUUUUUGUGCCGUUAGUUUGUUGAGAUGUCAACUUUAAGUGAUGAAACUUUGUGAUAUUUCAUGUAUGGUGCUUCAUAACGGUGGAUUUAAGGCAGCACUGCAUGAACGGUAGUUAUAAAGCAUUACGGUGGAUUUAAGUCAGCACUGGAUGUAUAAAAAGAACCCAGUAAUGGGAAAGUUGUAUGCUAGUCAUUAGUUUUUUAGUAACCCAUUAGUUCAUAGUCAAUUGAGACACACACGCGCGCGCGCGCGCGCGCGCACAAAAAAAAGGAGGAAUAUGAAUAAUGUGCAAUAAGCAAAAAGGAAUCAUUAAAACUGGAGCUGUGGUGGAUGUAGGACAUUAUCAGAUUGGUGGAGCUUAAAAGGAGGUUUUAAAGUAGAGUGCUAGGUAUUUGUAUAGUACGCAAUGAACUUUUUCUUAGAUGGUAGUGUACCCUCAAUUAUAUCCCCACCGCUCAAUUAGUUGGUGCAAUAUUGGAGCAAUUAUUUUUUUGGGAGAACAGGGGAGGCAAAAUAGCCACCCAGAAGUUUAUUAGAGAAGAAAAAAUGGGUAGUGUUAAAGAAGAAGUGUACAGAGACUCAGGUAGUAGAUUAACAGCAAGAAUAGGGCAAUAACCGAAUUCUGUGUCGCAGCAUGGAACUAGAUCAGAUGAUUCAUUUACGCAUCACUUGCUAUUUCUCUUUUCACUUCCUGUCUAAUCUUUUGAUGCAAAUCCAAUUAUCAGAAGAGCAUCUAAUUGUCUGAAUGCUUCAAUAAUUCUUUGUUUCUAGGUUUGCAUGACUGCAAGUGGAUUAUAUACAUUUCUAUCCAGUUCGAGUCUAUCCAGACUAGUCUGUCGCAGACUUUUAUUAAGAAGGAUAUUGCAGCAGCAUGACCUAUUUGCAAAGAUUCAAAGUAUGAAGUUCCCUCCAGCACAUGCAGAGAUGGAGCAAAUUCCUGCUGUCAAUCCAAACUAGAAUUCUUGUCCUGUAGGCUGAUUUUGGGGCCCCAAGCCUACAUCUGAUGCUCAAACUAGAUUUCAUUUUGGCAGAUGUUUCUUUGGUCGGGAAGAUCGGACAUGACACAUGGAGCCUGGUCUCACUACCUGCUAGAUUUGAGACAAAACUAGAUGAAUUCUGGGUUAUGCUAGGCCUGCAUCUUGCAAGAACAUACUUGAAUUGCACUUAUGAGUUGAGUCCCUGUGUUUGUUUAUUUUAUAUUUGAUCAUUUUGCUUCCUCAGUUAAUGUACAUCAGAAGAGAUUUUUCAAUAUUUAUCUGGAUGAGUUUCAUGCUUCCUUCCUGCAUUAGAUCCCGAUGUUGGAAGAUAUACCAUCGAGUAGAAUCAUCAUUUGCUUUG
This 38953-nucleotide long non-coding RNA is filed under the name Elaeis guineensis (African oil palm). RNAcentral's name for it is "long non-coding RNA (EGUI_LNC025100)". The record is from RNAcentral. Lineage: Eukaryota; Viridiplantae; Streptophyta; Magnoliopsida; Arecales; Arecaceae.